AUUGCUUGCAUUCGCUGACGACCGGCGCACGGGUGCGUAACGCGUAUGCAAUCUGCCUUUAACUGGAGAAUAGCCCGGUGAAAACCGGAUUAAUACUCCAUAAUAUUUGGAUUCCGCAUGGUUUCCUUAUUAAAGCUUCGGCGGUUAAAGAUGAGCAUGCGGGACAUUAGCUAGUUGGUGAGGUAACGGCUCACCAAGGCUACGAUGUCUAGGGGGCCUGAGAGGGUGAUCCCCCACACUGGUACUGAGACACGGACCAGACUCCUACGGGAGGCAGCAGUGAGGAAUAUUGCGCAAUGGAGGAAACUCUGACGCAGCCAUGCCGCGUGCAGGAAGAAUGCCCUACGGGUUGUAAACUGCUUUUAUUUGGGAAGAAACACUCCUACGUGUAGGAACUUGACGGUACCAAAUGAAUAAGCACCGGCUAACUCCGUGCCAGCAGCCGCGGUAAUACGGAGGGUGCAAGCGUUAUCCGGAUUUAUUGGGUUUAAAGGGUGCGUAGGCGGAGUAUUAAGUCAGUGGUGAAAGCCUGUAGCUCAACUAUAGAACUGCCAUUGAUACUGAUACCCUUGAGUUUGGCUGAGGUAGGCGGAAUACGGCAUGUAGCGGUGAAAUGCAUAGAUAUGCCGUAGAACACCGAUCGCGAAGGCAGCUUACCAAACCAAUACUGACGCUGAGGCACGAAAGCGUGGGGAGCGAACAGGAUUAGAUACCCUGGUAGUCCACGCCGUAAACGAUGAUCACUCGCUGCUGGCGAUAAACUGUCAGUGGCCAAGCGAAAGCAUUAAGUGAUCCACCUGGGGAGUACGCUCGCAAGAGUGAAACUCAAAGGAAUUGAC
RNAcentral lists this ribosomal RNA (839 nucleotides) under uncultured bacterium. RNAcentral's name for it is "bacterial SSU rRNA". It matches the Rfam family "Bacterial small subunit ribosomal RNA", at positions 75 to 914 of the family's 1533-position model. The record is from RNAcentral.